CCAGGUCGUGUUUCUGAAAACCAAGCGCGGGUGUCCCUCAGGGGCAGGGAACCCCGGAACCCCUUGAAGGCCUUGCCCAAGCCAGAGAAAUCAUCUGUCUUCUGUUUGACAAAAACCUACAAGUUAACAUGGAGAUAAUGUCACAGACUCAGAGCUUUGAAUCAAUUGUCAACAGAAAGCUAUCCUAGGGCUUCCCUGGUGGCGCAGUGGUUGAGAGUCCACCUGCCGAUGCAGGGGACACGGGUUCGUGCC
Kogia breviceps (pygmy sperm whale) is the source of this 252-nucleotide non-coding RNA. Lineage: Eukaryota; Metazoa; Chordata; Mammalia; Artiodactyla; Physeteridae. The record is from RefSeq and is a predicted model, not a curated record.